GAGCAAUAGGGAGUCAGAUCUUUCCCACACAAACUGGGUGCUCACCAGAGUAGGUGCACCCAGAGCUCUGUCCAGGCUGCAUCAUAUGCAUAGAGACCCCUCCCCACAGCUUGUCAACCUGAUCACAGUGCACUGUGUCUCACACUGAACAUAGCAAGUGUGGAAGUAUGUAAGAGCUGUGGUUGGCUAAUCGGCAUGGUGUUAGGCUCUGCAGACAUUCAAACAUCAGUUUUAAAGCUUACUGUUUUGGAGCCAGUCAAUUUAUUUCCUUCUCAGUCAUUUCUGUAGGUUCCUAAAGAGUUGGAGUGCCCUGGAUGCUGUGCCUUGAGGUGAGUGAACAAAGGGCCUUGGGGGCUUGAGAAGCCAGAGGGGUGCUGCCCCGUGAGGCUGGCAGGUGCCGGGCGCUCCGGGCAGCUCCUCCUGGCUUCACAAUGGGGCCCAGGCGGUGGGCAGUCAGGCUGGUGGGCAUGAGAGAAGGAGUCCCAGAACCAAAUGCUGCUCUCAGGGUAGAGGUCCAGCUUCUCACAUUGAUGAAAUCAUCUCUUUCACCACCUUUAUCUUCUUCCCACAAUCUCUCCUCUCUGCUUUAAGCUCUGUUCUAAAGCAGAGCCCCUGAGGAGAAAUGGACCCGGCACAGGUUAUCUUCAAAGGGCAGCUACUGUGGGUCAUGGGUCAUAAGUGAGCCAGUGGAUGGGCCACCCUCAGGGCAGAUGUGUCCCAAAGUUACGACCCUGUUGACUUUACUGUAACCAUGUUGUCCUGGUCUGACCAAUGCAUUUGGCAGAAGCCACCAGGGCUCAGAGCACUCAGUGGGAAAGGGACCUGGAAAUCUGGCAGCUCUUGGUCAUUUACUCUCAUCUGCACCACAAACUGGGGCCUUGGAACAGGGCUCUGAUGCUGUCAGCACAGCGAGCAGUGACUAAUUAAGACACAACCACAUUAGUCACGUUGGAGGUGACAACUGAGCAGCAUGUUUCGGGUUCCUGUCUGAGAGAUCCUGACACACUUUUCAAUUAUGUGGAACUAAUAGUGUGCGGCUUCCACGCAGCCAUGUCGGCAGGAGAGAAGGGGGUCUGAAAUGAAAGCAUGACUCACUGUGGCUCCUCACUCACUUCUUGGCACUUCCUAUUGAAAAUUACAAAAGGUGACACCAGGGGAACCAGCAUCAGGGUGUCUUUCAGAAGGGUGUUAUAAGAUGACUCUGAGUGACACAGGAGCUCGGUCCUUUCAAUAGGUGCACCUUGCGAACCCCAGCGUUGGCUAGUUCCAGCCUCCCUGUUCUCAAGGCGCACUCUCGUCUGGCCGCCAUCAGAGCCUGGCACAGCCAAGCAGGGAGAAGCACGAAGACCCAGGAGAACCCAAACACUGUAGCCAUGAGGAAAACAGGAAUGUUUCCUCCACACAUAAUCCCAACCAAAUUAGGGAAUGUUGCUGAAAUAGCUUUCCUUUUUGUUUCCCCUAGGGCCUCAACACAACAAUUUUAUGAACAAACCAGACUAGUACAGUGCAUUUUUAUGUUCCUGAGCUAGAGCCGAAGAUUCCUUUCUUUCUCUCGUGGCUUGUGAGAUCCCUAAGUUGUGUCUCUUCCAUGACGAGAAAAUGCUCUUGCAGGUGUGCAGAUGUCAGGCUGUCGGGGUCAAUAGAAAGGACAGAGCUACUUGCAUUUUUUUUUUUUUUUCUCUUUCGUAACUGGAGAGUGACAUCAUGCAGGGCUGAUGGCAUGAUGCCCAAGCACACUGGCUGCCUGUCCUCGUCUCCUCUUAGCUCUCCUGCAGCAAACCUGCCACCACGGGGCCAAGCCAUGCUCUGGUGGAGAAGGACCCCAGCCUUGUCCUUCCUGCGGCGUUCUUUCCAUCUGCACUACCACUGGGGAAAUCCUCUCGUGUCCACAUCUGCCUUCUGAGAUACACAAGCAGGGUUUGCCUUCUAAGCGGCCCAUGGUGUUGCAUACGUGCAUACACCCCAGCCUGGAUGCCCCUUUCUACCUCACUGGGUGAUCUUGAUCAAGUCUCCCUCACUCUACCAGGUGUGGCACACUGAGCGCAUGAAGGUGCCACCUACCUCUGGACUCCGUUCCUCUGUUAUCAAGGGGCCAAAUUUGAUUUGUGCUGUAAACACUGAGCCUAAGGACUCAAAGGAGCCAUCCAACUCCUACUGCAGUACCCUUCUUAUCUGUCUUGAAAAUUGGGGGCAGAGUUCCCAAUAUGGCUCAACAGUAAUGAACCUGCCUAGUAUCCAUGAGGAUGUGGGUUCAAUACCUGGCCUUCCUCAGUGGGUUAAGGAUCUGGCGUUGCCAAGAGCGGUGGUAUAGGUUGAAAACAUGGCUUGGAUCACACAUUGCUGUGGCUGUGGCAUAGGCUGGUAGCUGUAACUCCAAUUCAAACCCUAGCCUGGGAACUUCCAUAUGCCAUGGGUGUGGCCUUAAAAAGACAAAAGAAAGAAAAGAAAAUUGAGAGUUAGUUUAAGAGUUUGCUUAGAAGUUCCUGUCGUGGUACAGCAGAAAUGAAUCCGACUGGGAACCAUGAGGUUGCGGGUUCAAUCCCUGUCCUUGCUCAGUAGGUUAAGGAUCUGGCAUUGCUGUGAGCUAUGGUGUAGGUUGCAGACAUGGCUUGAAUCCUGAAUUGCUGUGGCUGUGGCCUAGGCUGGCAGCUGUAGCUCUGAUUGGACCCCUAGGCUGGGAACCUCCAUAUGCCACAGGUGCAACCCUAAAAAGCAAAAAAAAAAAAAAAAAAAAAA
RNAcentral lists this long non-coding RNA (2736 nucleotides) under Sus scrofa (pig). RNAcentral's name for it is "lncRNA (ENSSSCG00060042506.1)". The record is from RNAcentral. Lineage: Eukaryota; Metazoa; Chordata; Mammalia; Artiodactyla; Suidae.